UUUUAUUACAAUAAUGUUUUUAACUACUUAAAUCAAAUCGGUCCAAACAAUAAGAUAAUUCAAAAUUUGGAAAAACCCUAUUAGUAGGGAUCAAUCCAAUAUUCCAAUCUAUUAACCUAUCUAUCUCUAUUUACAUACAUUGUGGUAAGAAAUACGCCCUUCACUCAAAUCCUUUAUGUUUCAUUUUUCUCUUUCAAUGUACAGGGGUUCGCGCUAGUACUUGUUUGAACUCAUUCACCCCAUAAAAGCAUUGUUGACAACAAACAUCACAAUAAGAUGAACCAAAAAUGCACGUAACUGUUAACCCAAAGGGAUUGGCUUGACGCCUUCUCAGCCUCUCCUAAAUUUUCAGGUUUGAAACCUCUCAGUUGCUAUCAACCCCUAAGGGACGAGUAAAAUUU
Molecule: long non-coding RNA, 401 nt
Organism: Rhododendron vialii
Lineage: Eukaryota; Viridiplantae; Streptophyta; Magnoliopsida; Ericales; Ericaceae
Exons: 2
Source: RefSeq, a predicted model, not a curated record